Molecule: ribosomal RNA, 274 nt
Filed under: uncultured bacterium
Lineage: Bacteria
Description: partial 16S ribosomal RNA
Rfam family: Bacterial small subunit ribosomal RNA
Source: RNAcentral
AUACGGGGGGUGCAAGCGUUAAUCGGAAUUACUGGGCGUAAAGCUCGCGUAGGCGGUUUGCUCAGUCGGAUGUGAAAGCCCAGGGCUCAACCUUGGAACUGCAUACGAUACUGGCAAACUAGAGUGUGAGAGAGGAUAGUGGAAUUUCCGGUGUAGCGGUGAAAUGCGUAGAUAUCGGAAGGAACAUCAGUGGCGAAGGCGACUGUCUGGCUCAACACUGACGCUGAGGUGCGAAAGCGUGGGUAGCAAACAGGAUUAGAAACCCUAGUAGUCC